GAACUUUCCAGAGAUGGAUUGGUGCCUUCGGGAACUGUGAGACAGGUGCUGCAUGGCUGUCGUCAGCUCGUGUUGUGAAAUGUUGGGUUAAGUCCCGCAACGAGCGCAACCCUUAUCCUUUGUUGCCAGCGGUCCGGCCGGGAACUCAAAGGAGACUGCCAGUGAUAAACUGGAGGAAGGUGGGGAUGACGUCAAGUCAUCAUGGCCCUUACGACCAGGGCUACACACGUGCUACAAUGGCGCAUACAAAGAGAAGCGACCUCGCGAGAGCGAGCGGACCUCAUAAAGUGCGUCGUAGUCCGGAUUGGAGUCUGCAACUCGACUCCAUGAAGUCGGAAUCGCUAGUAAUCGUGGAUCAGAAUGCCACGGUGAAUACGUUCCCGGGCCUUGUACACACCGCCCGUCACACCAUGGGAGUGGGUUGCAAAAGAAGUAGGUAGCUUAACCUUCGGGAGGGCGCUUACCACUUUGUGAUUCAUGACUGGGGUGAAGUCGUAACAAGGUAACCGUAGGGGAACCUGCGGUUGGAUCACCUCCUUACCUUAAAGAAGC
This 552-nucleotide ribosomal RNA is filed under the name Escherichia coli. Its description in RNAcentral is "bacterial SSU rRNA". It matches the Rfam family "Bacterial small subunit ribosomal RNA", at positions 993 to 1533 of the family's 1533-position model. The record is from RNAcentral. Lineage: Bacteria; Pseudomonadati; Pseudomonadota; Gammaproteobacteria; Enterobacterales; Enterobacteriaceae.